CUACGUGCCAGCAGCCGCGGUAAUACGUAUGUCACGAGCGUUAUCCGGAUUUAUUGGGCGUAAAGCGCGUCUAGGUGGUUAUAUAAGUCUGAUGUGAAAAUGCAGGGCUCAACUCUGUAUUGCGUUGGAAACUGUAUAACUAGAGUACUGGAGAGGUAAGCGGAACUACAAGUGUAGAGGUGAAAUUCGUAGAUAUUUGUAGGAAUGCCGAUGGGGAAGCCAGCUUACUGGACAGAUACUGACGCUGAAGCGCGAAAGCGUGGGUAGCAAACAGGAUUAGAUACCCUGGUAGUCCACGCUGUAAACGAUGAUUACUAGGUGUUGGGGGUCGAACCUCAGCGCCCAAGCAAACGCGAUAAGUAAUCCGCCUGGGGAGUACGUACGCAAGUAUGAAGCUCAAAGGAAUUGACGGGGACCCGCACAAGCGGUGGAGCAUGUGGUUUAAUUCGACGCAACGCGAGGAACCUUACCAGCGUUUGACAUC
Molecule: ribosomal RNA, 484 nt
Filed under: uncultured bacterium
Lineage: Bacteria
Description: bacterial SSU rRNA
Rfam family: Bacterial small subunit ribosomal RNA
Source: RNAcentral